GGGCGUUGUACGGUCCCGUGUACGGAAGCCCAUUCCUAAACGACCGAGUCUUUCUGGACACCGAACGACGUUUAAGAACGUGUUUUCGGCACGAGCGAAUGCAUUCAAUAAGUUUUUGAGGGGCGGAACAAAACAAGAUAAGCCGUAUCAACAAGUUGCAGUGAACACCUCCAGAAACAAUUUUCGUCGUCACUGAGAAAUAUUUACGUGUGUAAAUAUGUACCAUUGCCAGUUCUUACUAAAAUCGUUACUUUUUUUUAAUAUAAUGCUGUAAGCGAUACAUUUUCGAGGUAUUGUAAUAUAGUCUACAUAUUGAUCGGGGACGUUUUUGCCUAGUUUAAAAAGAUUUUAUGUAAUAUUUUAUAUAAGAUUUUACAUCCGAAAUUACCAUCUGAUUUUAAUUAUCAAUUAUAUGGUUAUUUUACUGUAUCUGAAGACGGAAUGCAAUUACCUACGAUUUUAGCGAUUCUCUGUAAGUAAAUAUCGACGCCUUCUGAAAACCUAAAUGAUAAACAGUUAUUAGCUGGUCACUUAGCUGUCACUAACCGCAAACCUAACAUGGUUAUUUCUCAAAAUAUCAUUAUUCAACAUUUUUUAAUGAAUGAGUAAAUGCAUUUUGGCGGCAGAUCAUAUCAACAAAUGUUCAUUAUACAGCGAAUAAAAUGGUAAAAGUGUA
This is a long non-coding RNA of Pecten maximus, 676 nucleotides long. RefSeq lists it as uncharacterized. The transcript is spliced from 2 exons. The record is from RefSeq and is a predicted model, not a curated record. Lineage: Eukaryota; Metazoa; Mollusca; Bivalvia; Pectinida; Pectinidae.